RNAcentral lists this ribosomal RNA (373 nucleotides) under uncultured organism. RNAcentral describes it as "partial 16S ribosomal RNA". It matches the Rfam family "Bacterial small subunit ribosomal RNA", at positions 527 to 896 of the family's 1533-position model. The record is from RNAcentral.
GUAGGUGGCAAGCGUUGUCCGGAAUUAUUGGGCGUAAAGCGCGCGCAGGUGGGUUCUUUAAGUCUGAUGUGAAAGCCCCCGGGCUCAACCGGGGAGGGUCAUUGGAAACUGGGGAACUUGAGUGCAGGAGAGGAAAGUGGAAUUCCACGUGUAGCGGUGAAAUGCGUAGAUAUGUGGAGGAACACCAGUGGCGAAGGCGACUUUCUGGCCUGUAACUGACACUGAGGCGCGAAAGCGUGGGGAGCAAACAGGAUUAGAUACCCUGGUAGUCCACGCCGUAAACGAUGAGUGCUAAGUGUUGGGGGGUUUCCACCCCUCAGUGCUGCAGCUAACGCAUUAAGCACUCCGCCUGGGGAGUACGGUCGCAAGACUG